Molecule: ribosomal RNA, 492 nt
Filed under: uncultured bacterium
Lineage: Bacteria
Description: partial 16S ribosomal RNA
Rfam family: Bacterial small subunit ribosomal RNA
Source: RNAcentral
AGUGAACGCUGGCGGCAGGCCUAACACAUGCAAGUCGAACGGUAACGGGGUAUCAGGUGGCUCCGACGGGCGAAGGGGGGAGGAAUACAGCGGAACAUACCGGAACCUAGUUUAUAACGGGGGGUAAGGUAUGCUAACAUCCGCUACUACCGAAUGAGAAAUACGGGUGACCGCAGGGGCUUUUCCGGCCUUGCCGGCCGGUAUGAGCCGAUGUCGGAUUAGGUAGUUGGGGGGGUAAAGGCCAACCAAGGCGACGAUCCGUAGCUGGUCUGAGAGGAUGAUCAGCCACACUGGAACUGAGACACGGUCCAGACUCCUACGGGAGGCAGCAGUGGGGAAUAUUGGACAAUGGGCGCAAGCCUGAUCCAGCCAUGCCGCGUGGAUGAUGAAGGCCUUCGGGUUGUAAAGUCCUUUUGUAGGGAAAGAAAAGCAUCAGUUUAAUACCGCGCUGUUCUGACGGUACCCAAAGAAUAAGCACCGGCUAACUACGUG